AGUGAACGCUGGCGGUAGGCCUAACUCAUGCAAGUCGAACGGCAGCACAGUAAGAGCUUGCUCUUACGGGUGGCGAGUGGCGGACGGGUGAGGAAUACAUCGGAAUCUACUUUUUCGUGGGGGAUAACGUAGGGAAACUUACGCUAAUACCGCAUACGACCUACGGGUGAAAGCAGGGGAUCUUCGGACCUUGCGCGAUUGAAUGAGCCGAUGUCGGAUUAGCUAGUUGGCGGGGUAAAGGCCCACCAAGGCGACGAUCCGUAGCUGGUCUGAGAGGAUGAUCAGCCACACUGGAACUGAGACACGGUCCAGACUCCUACGGGUGGCAGCAGUGGGGAAUAUUGGACAAUGGGCGCAAGCCUGAUCCAGCCAUACCGCGUGGGUGAAGAAGGCCUUCGGGUUGUAAAGCCCUUUUGUUGGGAAAGAAAAGCAGCAGGUUAAUACCCCGCUGUUCUGACGGUACCCAAAGAAUAAGCACCGGCUAACUUCGUG
RNAcentral lists this ribosomal RNA (492 nucleotides) under uncultured bacterium. RNAcentral's name for it is "partial 16S ribosomal RNA". It matches the Rfam family "Bacterial small subunit ribosomal RNA", at positions 29 to 507 of the family's 1533-position model. The record is from RNAcentral.